UUCUUAUCAAGAGUGGUGGAGGGAUUAGGCCCAAUGAAACCCAGCAACCGGCGGAUGCAUUCGCAAGGUGCUACAUCCUACAGGACAUUUUGUUCUGAAAGAUAAGAA
RNAcentral lists this non-coding RNA (108 nucleotides) under Aneurinibacillus sp. XH2. RNAcentral describes it as "SAM riboswitch aptamer (S box leader)". It matches the Rfam family "SAM riboswitch aptamer (S box leader)". From Rfam's summary of the family: The SAM riboswitch is found upstream of a number of genes which code for proteins involved in methionine or cysteine biosynthesis in Gram-positive bacteria. The SAM riboswitch acts at the level of transcription termination control. The record is from Rfam by way of RNAcentral. RNAcentral also lists the same sequence under 1 other name. Lineage: Bacteria; Bacillati; Bacillota; Bacilli; Caryophanales; Paenibacillaceae.